This 446-nucleotide ribosomal RNA is filed under the name uncultured bacterium. RNAcentral's name for it is "SSU rRNA". It matches the Rfam family "Bacterial small subunit ribosomal RNA", at positions 26 to 518 of the family's 1533-position model. The record is from RNAcentral.
AGAACGAACGCUGGCGGCAGGCUUAACACAUGCAAGUCGAACGGUUGUAGCAAUACAGCAGUGGCAGACGGGUGAGUAACACGUGGGAACCUUCCUAGGGGUACGGAACAACUCAGGGAAACUUGAGCUAAUACCGUAUACGUCCGUGAGGAGAAAGAUUUAUCGCCCUUAGACGGGCCCGCGUAGGAUUAGGUAGUUGGUGGGGUAAUGGCCUACCAAGCCUACGAUCCUUAGCUGAUCUGAGAGGAUGAUCAGCCACACUGGGACUGAGACACGGCCCAGACUCCUACGGGAGGCAGCAGUGGGGAAUCUUGGACAAUGGGCGCAAGCCUGAUCCAGCCAUGCCGCGUGAGUGAAGAAGGCCUUCGGGUUGUAAAGCUCUUUUACCAGGGACGAUAAUGACGGUACCUGGAGAAUAAGCCCGGCAAACUCGUGCCAGCAGCCGC